GAUUAAACGAGAAGCGUCUUAACUGACCUUUUCACCCUUCACAUCCACAUACACCCUGUGAACUGUUUGGCUUCAACUCUUUUGUUGGGCUCUCGUCUUGAUAGAUUAGCAAUAGUCUACCGAGCGAGGGUGCGACUUUAGAGGGGGAGUCAUCAUACAUAUACAUACACAAAGUCUAAUGAAUGUAAACGUUUUAUAUAAACAAAAUAAAACUUUCAACAACGGAUCUCUUGGUUCU
This 238-nucleotide unclassified non-coding RNA is filed under the name rhizosphere metagenome. RNAcentral describes it as "partial ribosomal RNA internal transcribed spacer region". The record is from RNAcentral.